This 253-nucleotide ribosomal RNA is filed under the name uncultured bacterium. RNAcentral's name for it is "partial 16S ribosomal RNA". It matches the Rfam family "Bacterial small subunit ribosomal RNA", at positions 524 to 776 of the family's 1533-position model. The record is from RNAcentral.
GACAGAGGGGGCAAGCGUUGCUCGGAAUUACUGGGCGUAAAGGGCGCGUAGGCGGCGCGGUAAGUCGGGUGUGAAAUCUCGGAGCUUAACUCCGAAACUGCAUUCGAUACUGCCGUGCUUGAGGACUGGAGAGGAGACUGGAAUUUACGGUGUAGCGGUGAAAUGCGUAGAUAUCGUAAGGAAGACCAGUGGCGAAGGCGGGUCUCUGGACAGUUCCUGACGCUGAGGCACGAAGGUCAGGGGAGCAAACGGG